RNAcentral lists this ribosomal RNA (1067 nucleotides) under uncultured Thermodesulfobacterium sp. RNAcentral's name for it is "bacterial SSU rRNA". It matches the Rfam family "Bacterial small subunit ribosomal RNA", at positions 53 to 1083 of the family's 1533-position model. The record is from RNAcentral. Lineage: Bacteria; Pseudomonadati; Thermodesulfobacteriota; Thermodesulfobacteria; Thermodesulfobacteriales; Thermodesulfobacteriaceae.
CCAUGUCAAGUCGUGCGGGAAAGGGUUUCGGCCCAAGUACCGCGGCAGACGGGUGAGUAACACGUGAGUAACCUGUCCCCGGGUCUGGGAUAACCAUCCGAAAGGAUGGCUAAUACCGGAUAAAGUUGCCAGGCGCAGUCCUGGUAAUGAAAGGGGGCCUCUGCAUAGCAAGCUCCUGCCUGGGGAGGGGCUCGCGGCCCAUCAGCUAGUUGGUGGGGUAACGGCCCACCAAGGCUGCGACGGGUAGCCGGCCUGAGAGGGUGGUCGGCCACACGGGCACUGAGACACGGGCCCGACUCCUACGGGAGGCAGCAGGGGGGAAUCUUGGGCAAUGGGCGCAAGCCUGACCCAGCGACGCCGCGUGGGGGAAGAAGGCCUUCGGGUCGUAAACCCCUGUUCUGGGGGAAGAACCCGGACUUAGUUAAUAGCUAAGUCAGGCUGACGGUACCCCAGGAGAAAGCCACGGCUAACUGCGUGCCAGCAGCCGCGGUAAUACGCAGGUGGCGAGCGUUGCCCGGAAUCACUGGGCGUAAAGGGUGCGUAGGCGGCCGGACAAGUCAUAGGUCAAAGCCCGGAGCUUAACUCCGGAAAGGCCUAUGAUACUGUCUGGCUUGAGGGCCGGAGAGGCUGGCGGAAUUCCCGGUGUAGGGGUGAAAUCCGUAGAUAUCGGGAGGAACACCGGUGGGGAAGCCGGCCAGCUGGACGGUUCCUGACGCUGAGGCACGAAAGCGUGGGGAGCAAACCGGAUUAGAUACCCGGGUAGUCCACGCCGUAAACGAUGGGCGCUGGGUGUGGGGGGUUAAACCCUCCGUGCCGAAGCUAACGCGUUAAGCGCCCCGCCUGGGGAGUACGGCCGCAAGGCUGAAACUCAAAGGAAUUGACGGGGGCCCGCACAAGCGGUGGAGCACGUGGUUUAAUUCGAUGCAAAGCGAAGAACCUUACCUGGGCUUGACAUGCCAGGGUUGUACUCUGGUGGAAACACCGGGGGAGCCUGAGAUUUUUCUCAGGCGCUCUGGCACAGGUGCUGCAUGGCUGUCGUCAGCUCGUGUCGUGAGAUGCUGGGUUAA